Hevea brasiliensis (rubber tree) is the source of this 3892-nucleotide long non-coding RNA. RefSeq lists it as uncharacterized. The record is from RefSeq and is a predicted model, not a curated record. The transcript is spliced from 17 exons. Lineage: Eukaryota; Viridiplantae; Streptophyta; Magnoliopsida; Malpighiales; Euphorbiaceae.
UUCUUUCCUUCAAAAACAUCAUUAGGGCAGCCCAAAGUUUUCAAAUCCUAUAGAUUCUUACUGUGUGUAUAAUUAUAAUGGAAUAGCUAAAAUAAUGUCAUAUAAAAAAAUCAUCUACUUCUUCUACAGAAAAUACUUCUCUCUAUUUAGUAAGUUGAUCCAUUACAUGCUCUGUUCUGUCUUCAUUUUGUCUUUACUUUUGUUCCGAUUCUAUAUGCAGAGGUACAACCGUAGAAGGAUGAUUCUACUAAGCUUUGACCAUCCAUCCGGCGAUAGAACAUAUUGCUAGCUCCAAUACUGGAAUUAUAUGUUGCUCUUGCACAUGGCAAAUUUAUUACUUUCAAAUUUUAGAAAGGGAAUAGAGGCAAAUUAUGUCUGUCCUGCAACAGAUGAUAUAUGGAAGUUGUAAUUGACCUUAGGGAUCUAUUUAUCCGCCAUAAUUCAGGAAUGAAGCGAUUUUGAACUUGAAGCUUAUCUUGAACCUAUUUCCUUUUUCUAUUAUUACAAAGUAGUAACAAAGCUAAGAUUAAAUUCAGAUGAAAAGGAUCAUCAGCUGCUUCGACAAGAUAUCUUUCUCUCCAUCUGGGCUGGAAGGAUGUUAAAUUGAAUUAACCUAUGGAUGUAGGGCUGUAGAAACAAUUUUGCAUUUUCAGAAGCAAUGAGAAUGUGCAUUCUGUCUUUAAAUUCUGUUAACUGCUCUUCCACUUACAUUGCCACAUCUCUACACCUUUGAGAAGGUAGCAACUACAGAGUGCAUUGUUUCUCAAUUGAUGAUGAUGGAGCACAACUAACUACAUUGUCAUGUUCCCCUGGUAACUUAGGACCAUGAAAUGUAUUAUCACCUCCAACACUUUUGUAGUUGCAUCAUUCAAUUGUAUUAUUUUCUUAGGGCAGUUAGCUUUGAAUUAUAUUUUAAUCUAUCCUGACUGAUUUUCUGAAUUUAAUGCAAUAUAUCCAUGUGCUAAUCCUGUAAUCCUUGUAGGCAAUGCAACAUGGAGCAAGGUGUGAGAUCAAAGCGACAGAUCCUGGAACGUGGAGAAGUUCCUCUGGGUGAAUGAGGCUAAAAUUCUUAAAUAUUUUGAAGUUACGGAAAUUUAUGUGUUGCUACAAAUUAUGAAAAGGAGUGCAUCUAAUAAUCUCUAUUAGCAUCCACUUUUGUGCAGGCACAGAGCAAGUGUGCAGUUUACGUGAAAUUGGGUUCCUUCCAUUGACCAUCUAAGCAUUAGGUUAUAAAGGGAGCUUAACAGAGUGAAUCUUGCACAUAUUCACUCUCUGCAAUCACUUUCCAGUUCCGAAGUUUGAGUUGGGAUGGUGUGACAGCUUUACACUGGAAAAUGAGUGGUUUUUAAGUCUUCAACUGCUGAUACUUACAAAUGCAUUAUGCCUCCGAAAGAAGCUGCUUUGCCAUUGGUUGUGCUGGAAAGAAGAAUUCUUAACUGUUUCUACAGGUGCUGCAAUUUGGUGAAACUCCCACAUCUUUGCUCAAAAGAGAAACAAUAAAAUGCAACUCCAUCUCCAAGUCAUUGAACAAGAAAUACACACAGCUACUAUGGGAAUUGUCACUUGUCAAAGCUAGUUCUGGUUAUGUCUUAAUGAGCUCUGAAGAUUCAUUUUGUUUUGUUUGUUUACUUAUACAGCUAGAUUAAUAGAUUUUGUGAUAUUUUUAAAGUGUAAAUCUAUUUAAUUUUAUUAGCAGUCUGGAACUAAGUUAGAGGAAUUUCUAUGUUUAUGUCAAUUUCACCAAUUAAAUACACGGAAGUGUAGUUUAAAUGUAACAGGUUUUUUUUAGCAAAAAGUUGUUUUUUUUUUAAUUUGACACACUGGGAUUUAUUUUUUUAGUUCUUUUCCAGUUGUUUGUAAUAAUAAAGCUAAGGUAAAAUUGAGAUGAAAAGGAUCAUUGGCUACUUCUACAAGAUAUAUUUCUCCCCAUCUGCUGUGAAAAUCAACCGCCUGCUUUGAUCUGUCUUCACUUUUUAUCUUUCAAGGGUCAACAAGUCUGUCUCUGUACUAUAUGCAAGGUUGGAAGAAAGUUUAAACAGCUCUUGGAUCAGACAUUUGGAAUCAAUUUUUCAUUUUCAGAAACAAUCAGAAUUUCCAGUAGAUGUGAGAUACUUCGUCUUUAAUUUCUGGCAAUUGCUCUUCAACUUAUAUUCCCAAAAUCGUUCAGAGUGGAAAAAGCGAAUCCAUAUAGCCGACCCCAAAUUUUUGGGAUAAAGGCUUAGUUGAGUUGAGUUGCUCUUCAACUUAUAUUGCUGCAUCCCAGCUCCUUCGUGAAGCUCAAGACUGCAGAGUGUGCAUUGGUUCUCAAUUGAUGAUGAAGUGCACAAAGGAUGCUUCUGCUAACUUUUCACUGUCUAUUGGAUAAUGAAGCAUAUUGAUAGGUUCAACACUGGAAUUACCCAUUGCCUUCAAUUGACAAGGAAGGAGCAAUUUUGAAGUUGAAGCUUCCUAAUAAGGAUUAUAAAUCUUCGCUAUAGUUCCUUUUUCAAGUAUUACAAAGGGAACUUCAAUACGUUACCACCUUGCAGCGUCUGGAAAUCUGGUAUUGUUCUAAUUUGACAGCUUUGCUUGACUGGAUGGGCAACCUCACAUCACUUAGAUAUCUAGAGAUCUCAUACUGCCCCAAAUUGGAAUCGCUACCAAAAGGAAUGCGUCAAAUCAGCACUUUACUGGAGUUGAGGAUUGAUGGUUGCCCCCAUGUGAACACGAUAUGGCUGCAGAUUGGCCCAACAUUUCUCACAUCCCAAAUAUUAAUAUAGAUUGGCAUGAGUAUUCAACAGCAUGGCCUCUAUUUAUUGGAAGAAGAAGGAGGCUCCUCUGCUUCCACGGAGGUACAACUGUAGAAGGAUGAUUCUACUAAGCUUUGACUAUCCAUGGGAUGAUAGAACAUAUUGCUAGCUCCAACACCAGAAUUAUAUGUUGCUCUUGCACACAGCAAACCUUUUUCUACUUUCGAAUUUGAGAAAGGGAAUAGAAGCAAAUGACAUUUGUCCUGCGACAGAUGAUACCUGGAAGUUGUAAAUUACUUUAGGAUCUACUCAUGCAAUAGAAUUCAGUAACAAAGUUAAGGUUUAAUUCACAUGAAAAGGAUCAUCAGCUGCUUCUACAAGAUAUCUUUCUCCAUCUGAGCUGGAAGGAUGUUGAUAACUUGAAUUAACUCUUGGAACAAACAUUUAGAAUCAAUUUGCAUUUUCAGAAGCAAUAAGUAUCUGCAUUCUGUCUAAAUUCUGUCGAUUGCUCUUCACCUUACAUUGCCACAUCUCUAUCCCUUUGAGAAGCUAGCAACUGCAGAGUGCAUUGGUUCUCAAUUGAUGAUGAUGGAGCACAACUCACCAUGAUGUCAUGUUCGCCUAGCCAUCAUGCUGCAAUCCAGCCACUUAGAAGUUAGGACCAUGGAAUGGAAUACAACCUGGAGCAAGGCCGGAGAUCAAAGCAACAGAUCCUAGAACCUGGAGAACUUCCUCUGGGAAAAUGAAGCUAAAAUUCUUAGAUUUUUGUAAGGCACAGAGCAAGUGUGAGUUUACCUGAAAUGUGUACAGCAAAGGUUCAUUCUCUUGGUGCUGCAAUUUGGUGAAACUCCCACAUCUUUGCUCAAAAGAGAAACAGUGAAUUGCAACUCUUGAGCCAUUGAACAAGAAAUACACACAGCUACUAUGAUAGAAGAUUUGUCACUUGUCAAAGUUAUUUCUUGUUAUGCCUUAAUUAGCCUAAAGAUUCAUUUUGUUUUGUUUGUUUACUUAUACAAAUAGGUUAAUAGAUAUUGUGAUAUUUUUAAAAUGUAAAUCUAUUUUAUUUUAUUAACAGUCUGGUACUAAGGGGAAUUUCUAUGUUUAUGUCAAUUUCACCAGUUAAACACAUGGAAUUGUAUUUUAAGUCUAAGAGGCUUUUUUUU